This 2833-nucleotide long non-coding RNA is filed under the name Olea europaea subsp. europaea. The record is from RNAcentral. Lineage: Eukaryota; Viridiplantae; Streptophyta; Magnoliopsida; Lamiales; Oleaceae.
CCUCACGUCUUUUAACUCCUUUAUGACUUCAUAUAUACCUCCUAAGUCAAAUAUAACUUCUCCCAAGAUAAAUGUGAAAUCAGUUUUUUUCUACAAGAAGCCACCCAUGCUUAGUACACCUCAUGCUUCUAAACUUGUCUCUAAACAACAAUUUUCUUAGUCCUUAAGCAAGCAUCACGACCCAAUCUUUUAAGACUUUAUAUAUACAUCCUAAAUAAAAGCCCUCCAUGUUAUUCCCAAGUGACUCCAAGUGAAAGAGAAAGCAAAGGAAACAAAGAAGAGUAGAAAACAAGAAGUUGGAAUUGGAAUUUUGAGCAAGUGAGUUUACGUUUUUGAGGUUUGAUUUUAUUAUUUCUAAGAGUUUUAUAAUCUCUUAAACCUAUGAACUUUCUUGAUGUGAUACAGGGGUAUUGUUGGUGGUAUUUUUAUGUCAAAAAGAGGUAACUGGUUGAAGGAAAUUGAGUAUAGUUGCUGGAUUAUACCUAUCCAACAUUUAAUUUUGUAUACUACCUUGAGUAUAACUUAUAUUUAUCAAUAUAAAUGUUUUAUCUGAAAUUUAUAAGUACAGAAAUGAUUUUUAAUAGGUUAGAAUCUGAUUUGUGGCAUGUUAAUUCAAGUGAAACUCAAAACCUCCAUUAAUGCGAACCUAUGUAAUAAUAGUAGCUCCGAAACCAACACAAGAUUGAAUCACAACCACAAGGAAGCUAAAAUCUCGAUUUGAAACUUGACCCAAUAAUUGACCCCCUUAAUAAUAAAAGUUAUGAAACCUUAGUAUGAAGUUGUUGAACGUCACAAGAUAAAAUCCAUGAUAAGUUCAAAAUUGAGUUCAAUGAAGAGUAAGAAGAAAGCAACUUUGCUUUGAUUUAAUCUCUCAAUAAUUAAUUAAUUUACAAUGAAAGAAUGAUGCCAUAUAUAUAGGCAACUCAUAAAACCCUAAUUAAAACGGAAAGCAUCAAGAAAACAUCAAACAAAUCGAGUUCUAAAUGAAAAAGGAAAAUUAAACCGAUUUCAGAUUUUAUUUAUUUUUUUACUGCGAGCGCGCACUUUGUAUUGUCUCGUGCGUACGCCAUUCAAUUGAUUUGGCUAUGGGUUGAAAUUUUACCUCAAUGCGAGCAUGGCCUAUUUUGCUUGCGUGUGCGUCACCUUUUGACUCCUUUGUCCCAUGGUUCUUAUCAGCCAUAGUGAAAUUUCUGAUUUGGUAUUCUGAAAAAAGGGACUGACUUUGAUGCUGCAAACCUUUCACUUAUGGCAAUUUUAGGGCAUUAUUUCAUUCAUAUGGAUGUUAUAUAAGUUCGGUAAAAGUUUGGUAUGGUUAAGGGUGCAAAAAGUGGUAAGAAAAUUAAGUGGACAGUGAUAGGAACUCAAAAUCAGAUUCUUUCCAUUUUCAAAUUUCAUGUAGUUUCACAUUUACGUGAUCACUAAUCACCUCUAAAGCUUGGAAAUUUGAUUUUAGAAUGAGUGUUAGGUCGUUAAUGAUUGAAUUAGAUAGUUUUUACAUUCAUUGAACUUGAAAAUAGCGCGAGUUAUACUGGUUGCUUGAAAUGCUAAUGCUAUCUAGUUAUGUUGGCGUUUGUGGUUGUAGUACAGGAUUUUGUGUGAGUUAAGAUUAACAAAUUGAGAAUAUUGUUUGAUAUUAGAUGAUAAUAUGGGUUUUAAUUUUUUUAAUUUUUAUUUUUUUUCAACUUUAGGUGGGAAAAAGACUUGACUUAUACCUCAUACAGAGCACACACACGGAGGCAAAAGAUAAGUAAAAACUCAUUUGCAAUUACGAUGCAAGAACAUAGUAUCCAUUGAAAUAUUUUUCUAUUUAUCAUUGUCAUGACUUUUAUGUAAUUUUGAUAAUGAACUUAUUGUAUCCUAUGUUGGUCAUGAUGAUUGAUUAGGUGUUUCAAGAGCAUGUUGGCAUCCACUUUGAUUGAGUAUGCUAUUCAUAAGCAUUUAUAUGUGCAUGCAUGACAUGUCCACACUAAAAAAUAUCUAGCAUGCACGACAUGAUUUGAAAAAAUGAAUUUACAUUAUAAAAUAUUUUAUUGACCACAAUUUGGGCACCAAGGCAUGCGAGCUUGCUUAUGUGAUAUUUGUUGGCAUCACAAGUGAGACUUUCCUGUUAUCAUGUAGGAAUAUAGGGAAUGUACCUUUGACGAUCACGGGAUGAUGGACCACUUGAUUAUGCUUUGGUGAUAUUAUGAUUAUUGAUGUCAGGAUGGGAUAAUUCUUGGGUGAUUGAUCAUAGGGGCAGUUAGGGAUGUACCUCUAGUGGUCAUAGGAGGAUGGUCCACUUGACUGUAUCGAUAUUAUAUUGGACAUUUGAUUAUUGAUAUUGAUAUUGCAUAAAACUCUAUUCGGUGCAUAGUAGGUGCGUGAAGGACCCAAUGAAAAGAGACAUUUUCAAAUGAAAUUAUUUUGAGCUUGCUUUGAUGAAUAUUUUAAUAUGAUGUAUCAUUUGCAUAAUGUUUUCAAAAGAAAUGGCAUGGACACAUUCAUAUUCAUGGCAUGCAUAAUUUUUACAUAUUGAGCAUUAGCUUAUGUAGUUCUUGAAUUGUAGUGAGUUUGAUGAGCUUGGAGCUCCAUACAUAACAUUGCUGGGAUGUGAAGCUCUUGCAGGAUUUCGAAAGUCGAUAAACAUUGAUGACGACUUGUAGGGUUAUUUUAGGGAAUGUCCAUUUGGUCUUACAAUCUUUUUAAAACUUACGUAUGUAUGACUUGUGAAAUAGAAUAGUAAUACUUUUGUAUUCUUAAAGUAAACAUGUUUUAAUAGAGUUAGUCUAUUGUCUUGAUAUAUUAUAUGAACAUUACAGGUGAUCAUGUGAAUAUGCAUGGAUUUAUGGUGAGG